GCGAGAGUGGUGGAACUGGCAGACACGCCAGACUUAGGAUCUGGUGCCCGAUUCAGGGUAUAAGGGUUCGAGUCCCUUCUCUCGCA
Non-coding RNA from Spirochaetes bacterium RBG_16_67_19, 86 nucleotides. The record is from Rfam. NCBI's taxonomy places the organism in Bacteria, Pseudomonadati, Spirochaetota.